RNAcentral lists this ribosomal RNA (253 nucleotides) under uncultured bacterium. RNAcentral's name for it is "partial 16S ribosomal RNA". It matches the Rfam family "Bacterial small subunit ribosomal RNA", at positions 524 to 776 of the family's 1533-position model. The record is from RNAcentral.
UACGUAGGGUGCAAGCGUUAAUCGGAAUUACUGGGCGUAAAGCGUGCGCAGGCGGUUUUGUAAGACUGUCGUGAAAUCCCCGGGCUUAACCUGGGAAUUGCGAUGGUGACUGCAAGGCUAGAGUUUGGCAGAGGGGGGUAGAAUUCCACGUGUAGCAGUGAAAUGCGUAGAGAUGUGGAGGAACACCGAUGGCGAAGGCAGCCCCCUGGGUCAAUACUGACGCUCAUGCACGAAAGCGUGGGGAGCAAACAGG